Molecule: non-coding RNA, 72 nt
Organism: Anaeramoeba flamelloides
Lineage: Eukaryota; Anaeramoebidae
Source: the annotation of a GenBank genome assembly
GGUCCUGUGGCGCAGUGGCAGCGCGAUUGACUCCUAAUCAAUAGGUCGCAGGUUCGAAUCCUGCUUGGAUCG